AUUGAACGCUGGCGGCAUGCCUUACACAUGCAAGUCGAACGGCAGCACGGGAGCAAUCCUGGUGGCGAGUGGCGAACGGGUGAGUAAAGUAUCGGAACGUGCCCAGUCGUGGGGGAUAACGUAGCGAAAGUUACACUAAUACCGCAUACGAUCUAUGGAUGAAAGCGGGGGAUCGCAAGACCUCGCGCGAUUGGAGCGGCCGAUAUCAGAUUAGGUAGUUGGUGGGGUAAAGGCUCACCAAGCCGACGAUCUGUAGCUGGUCUGAGAGGACGACCAGCCACACUGGGACUGAGACACGGCCCAGACUCCUACGGGAGGCAGCAGUGGGGAAUUUUGGACAAUGGGCGCAAGCCUGAUCCAGCCAUGUCGCGUGCAGGAUGAAGGCCUUCGGGUUGUAAACUGCUUUUGUACGGAACGAAAAGGUUUGGCUUAAUACGUUGAACUCAUGACGGUACCGUAAGAAUAAGCACCGGCUAACUACGUGCCAGCCGCCGCCGUAA
RNAcentral lists this ribosomal RNA (500 nucleotides) under uncultured bacterium. RNAcentral describes it as "partial 16S ribosomal RNA". It matches the Rfam family "Bacterial small subunit ribosomal RNA", at positions 30 to 523 of the family's 1533-position model. The record is from RNAcentral.